UUUCUUAUAAUCUAUUAAACUACUGUCAAUAUUAUUAUGUUUUGCCAAACUAUUUUGGUAUGGUUUUCAAAGGAAGACUGAGUAUUCAUAAACAAAUGUUUUGUUGUCAAACGAAAGGCACGUGAGUUUGCCAAACCUUAAACGUACAUAUGUUUUAAGAAAGUAGUGUUGUACAACAUAGAGUACUAUAGGCUGAUCACCUAGACGUGCUUGUAAGAUAUGCCAGACUAACAGACUUGGUGACGG
Molecule: long non-coding RNA, 246 nt
Filed under: Panax ginseng (ginseng)
Lineage: Eukaryota; Viridiplantae; Streptophyta; Magnoliopsida; Apiales; Araliaceae
Description: long non-coding RNA (PGIN_LNC013777)
Source: RNAcentral